Myotis brandtii (Brandt's bat) is the source of this 126-nucleotide non-coding RNA. The record is from Rfam. NCBI's taxonomy places the organism in Eukaryota, Metazoa, Chordata, Mammalia, Chiroptera, Vespertilionidae.
CGUGCACCAGUGGGGUCCCUUGGCCUGGCCUGUGUCCUCUCACAAUCUGGGACCCCUCGGGGGAUGUCGGAGAGCUAGUUUCAGCACGAUCCUGCAGGCCAGGCCGAGGGACCCCACUGGUGCAUG